Molecule: ribosomal RNA, 729 nt
Filed under: uncultured bacterium
Lineage: Bacteria
Description: bacterial SSU rRNA
Rfam family: Bacterial small subunit ribosomal RNA
Source: RNAcentral
AGUGGCGAACGGGUGAGUAACGCGUGGGUAACCUGCCUUAUAUCGGGGACAACUGACCGGAAAGGUGAGCUAAUACGGGAUAACUGUCAAGAUCGCAUGAUCUUAACAGGAAAGGCGGCCUCUAUUUAUAAGCUGCCGAAAAGGAUGGACCCGCGUCUGAUUAGCUAGUUGGUGAGGUAACGGCUCACCAAGGCGACGAUCAGUAGCCGGCCUGAGAGGGUGAACGGCCACACUGGGACUGAGACACGGCCCAGACUCCUACGGGAGGCAGCAGUGGGGAAUCUUCCGCAAUGGACGAAAGUCUGACGGAGCAACGCCGCGUGAGUGAAGAAGGUUUUCGGAUUGUAAAACUCUGUCUUUUGGGAAGAACGGCAGAUAUAUGAAUAAUAUAUGUGAUUGACGGUACCAAAGGAGGAAGCCCCGGCUAACUACGUGCCAGCAGCCGCGGUAAUACGUAGGGGGCAAGCGUUGUCCGGAAUUAUUGGGCGUAAAGAGCGCGCAGGCGGCUAUUUAAGUCUACCGUGAAAGCUUACGGCUCAACCGUAACGGGUCGGUGGAUACUGGAUGGCUUGAGGGCAGGAGAGGAAAGUGGAAUUCCCAGUGUAGCGGUGAAAUGCGUAGAGAUUGGGAGGAACACCAGUGGCGAAGGCGACUUUCUGGACUGUUACUGACGCUGAGGCGCGAAAGCUGGGGGAGUGAACGGGAUUAGAUACCCCGGUAAUCCCAGCC